RNAcentral lists this unclassified non-coding RNA (343 nucleotides) under soil metagenome. RNAcentral describes it as "partial contains 5.8S ribosomal RNA, internal transcribed spacer 2, and large subunit ribosomal RNA". The stretch from base 1 to 120 matches the Rfam family "5.8S ribosomal RNA", at positions 35 to 154 of the family's 154-position model. The record is from RNAcentral.
GAUGAAGAACGUAGCGAAACGCGAUAAGUAAUGUGAAUUGCAGAAUCCAGUGAAUCAUCGAAUCUUUGAACGCACAUUGCGCCCGCCAGCAUUCUGGCGGGCAUGCCUGUUCGAGCGUCAUUUCAACCCUCGACCUCCCCUUGGGGAGGUCGGCGUUGGGGACCGGCAGCACACCGCCGGCCCUGAAAUGGAGUGGCGGCCCGUCCGCGGCGACCUCUGCGCAGUAAUACAGCUCGCACCGGGACCCCGACGCGGCCACGCCGUAAAACCCCCAACUUCUGAACGUUGACCUCGAAUCAGGUAGGACUACCCGCUGAACUUAAGCAUAUCAAUAAGCGGAGGA